RNA transcript from Adelges cooleyi (spruce gall adelgid), 1605 nucleotides. RefSeq lists it as uncharacterized. The transcript is spliced from 4 exons. NCBI's taxonomy places the organism in Eukaryota, Metazoa, Arthropoda, Insecta, Hemiptera, Adelgidae. The record is from RefSeq and is a predicted model, not a curated record.
ACGAUGCUAUACGCACAAUAAUGAUAAUAUAUUCGUUGGGAGUUAUGACCGUGAACACGGUUCACCUUCUCCCCGGUCUACUCGGUCGGCUGGCAGUAGUCAGUACACAGUCGGUCUCUGCGGUGUAUGGCCGCGGCCAGCCGAAAUCCGGCUCUGGAGAGCUGUUCAGCCGCCAUUUUGUUUGCCGUUCACGACACAGCGCACCGAGUCGCAUCAGUAAAACAAAAUUGGUAUGCCUCCAAAUUUAAUAAAAAAAACCUCAAGUAAUGCAUUCAAGUACAUAACUUUAAAUAAAAGUAAUACGAGUAACCCCGUUCUAAAAAAUCAAUGUGGACCUAGAACGAUCAGAUUACCAAAAAUGUCACCAGUGCCUGAACCACCUAAAAGGCUUAGGGAUCACAAAAUAAUCUUUCCACGGUAUAUAGAUGAUUCGUGUGUAUGUAAACCAAAAAUAAACACGCCUACGUUGAAACAGAAAAUUGUAACUGCAUCUUCUUAUAUAGUCAGUUCGAUGGUAAUAUACUGUGGUCUAAAGGUAUUGGCCAAAACUGGCGUGUGGGGCUCUCAAGAUGAAACUCGGCCAAUUUUAGACGGACUAUAUGAUGCAUUAGGGCCAAUAUUUUGUUCAAAAAAAGAAGUCAAGACGAGAAAAUUAACAGAUCGGUGGAAUGAUUUUUUAUGGAAAAUUGGAUCGUUUAUUUGUGGGAAUGUCAGAACCGAACCUACUAAAAUUCAAGUUACAGACGAUGUAUCUAAACUGUCCAGUCACGAAGGUUUACCAACGAUACCAUACAAACCUGAAAUAUAGUCAACGCAAAAAAUCUAUUUGAAAUAAAUAAUAGUUUAUUAAAUAAAAUAUAUAUUGCCUAUUUGUUUAAAUUAAUAAAUAAAAAGUACGUUUAAUAAGUGAAACAGCAAUACAGUAUACUUACGAUACUGUUAAGACCCUAUAGCCCUGUACUUAGGUAUUGUAGGCUGAAUGAGUUUGUCACAAUCGUGGUUGAUAUAAUUGAUAGGUUUUUAGGUAUUAUAGUGAGCCCGGAAAGGCGUUUACAUACAAUAAGUAAAUGAGGACAAACGAAGACUUUAUAAUAAAAACAUCUUUAGAAAUAUAUUGAAACUGUUUUAAUAAGCACUUGUGAAAUAAUAAUAAGAUACGUAAUGACUGACUGGCUGACGACUGACAAUUGUACAGGAGAAUAGAUAAGUUUAUAUAGUAAUAUGUAAAUUAGUAGAUUGUAUCAAACAACAUAAAAAUAGGUUUAGAACAAGGAGGACAAGUAUUAACAAAGUUAACUACGCAGUUUCCAAAUAGCCAGUCAAGGUCAACACAUUUUUUAUGGUCUAGAAUGAGUGAAGCUGUUUACUUUUACGGAAGCUGAAGAAGUAGUUAAACUACAAAUAACGAAUCCAAAUUCUAUUUUUAUUUUUGAUGAUGUGUUGUGUGAUACUCAAAUACCCAUUCAAGAUUAUUUUAGUAUGGGGAGACAUUUUGGUGCUAAUUCAAUUUUCUUUUUUUAGUACAAAGUUAUUCUAAAGUUUUAAAACGAUUGGUACGCGAUAACUGUAAUUUAUUAGUGGUGUUCAAACAAGACGAACGCAAUU